RNAcentral lists this ribosomal RNA (483 nucleotides) under uncultured bacterium. RNAcentral's name for it is "partial 16S ribosomal RNA". It matches the Rfam family "Bacterial small subunit ribosomal RNA", at positions 28 to 523 of the family's 1533-position model. The record is from RNAcentral.
GACGGACGCUGGCGGCGUGCUUAACACAUGCAAGUCGAACGAUGAAGCUGGAGCUUGCUCCGGUGGAUUAGUGGCGAACGGGUGAGUAACACGUGAGCAAUCUGCCCUUGACUCUGGGAUAACUGCGGGAAACUGUAGCUAAUACCGGAUACGAGAUUUGGAGGCAUCUCCGGAUCUGGAAAGAAUUUCGGUCAAGGAUGAGCUCGCGGCCUAUCGGCUUGUUGGUGAGGUAAUGGCUCACCAAGGCGACGACGGGUAGCCGGCCUGAGAGGGUGACCGGCCACACUGGGACUGAGACACGGCCCAGACUCCUACGGGAGGCAGCAGUGGGGAAUAUUGCACAAUGGGCGAAAGCCUGAUGCAGCAACGCCGCGUGAGGGAUGAAGGCCUUCGGGUUGUAAACCUCUUUUAGUAGGGAAGAAGCGAAAGUGACGGUACCUACAGAAAAAGCACCGGCUAACUACGUGCCAGCCGCCGCAGUAA